Molecule: ribosomal RNA, 1091 nt
Filed under: Staphylococcus aureus
Lineage: Bacteria; Bacillati; Bacillota; Bacilli; Caryophanales; Staphylococcaceae
Description: bacterial SSU rRNA
Rfam family: Bacterial small subunit ribosomal RNA
Source: RNAcentral
UUCGGGAAACCGGAGCUAAUACCGGAUAAUAUUUUGAACCGCAUGGUUCAAAAGUGAAAGACGGUCUUGCUGUCACUUAUAGAUGGAUCCGCGCUGCAUUAGCUAGUUGGUAAGGUAACGGCUUACCAAGGCAACGAUGCAUAGCCGACCUGAGAGGGUGAUCGGCCACACUGGAACUGAGACACGGUCCAGACUCCUACGGGAGGCAGCAGUAGGGAAUCUUCCGCAAUGGGCGAAAGCCUGACGGAGCAACGCCGCGUGAGUGAUGAAGGUCUUCGGAUCGUAAAACUCUGUUAUUAGGGAAGAACAUAUGUGUAAGUAACUGUGCACAUCUUGACGGUACCUAAUCAGAAAGCCACGGCUAACUACGUGCCAGCAGCCGCGGUAAUACGUAGGUGGCAAGCGUUAUCCGGAAUUAUUGGGCGUAAAGCGCGCGUAGGCGGUUUUUUAAGUCUGAUGUGAAAGCCCACGGCUCAACCGUGGAGGGUCAUUGGAAACUGGAAAACUUGAGUGCAGAAGAGGAAAGUGGAAUUCCAUGUGUAGCGGUGAAAUGCGCAGAGAUAUGGAGGAACACCAGUGGCGAAGGCGACUUUCUGGUCUGUAACUGACGCUGAUGUGCGAAAGCGUGGGGAUCAAACAGGAUUAGAUACCCUGGUAGUCCACGCCGUAAACGAUGAGUGCUAAGUGUUAGGGGGUUUCCGCCCCUUAGUGCUGCAGCUAACGCAUUAAGCACUCCGCCUGGGGAGUACGACCGCAAGGUUGAAACUCAAAGGAAUUGACGGGGACCCGCACAAGCGGUGGAGCAUGUGGUUUAAUUCGAAGCAACGCGAAGAACCUUACCAAAUCUUGACAUCCUUUGACAACUCUAGAGAUAGAGCCUUCCCCUUCGGGGGACAAAGUGACAGGUGGUGCAUGGUUGUCGUCAGCUCGUGUCGUGAGAUGUUGGGUUAAGUCCCGCAACGAGCGCAACCCUUAAGCUUAGUUGCCAUCAUUAAGUUGGGCACUCUAAGUUGACUGCCGGUGACAAACCGGAGGAAGGUGGGGAUGACGUCAAAUCAUCAUGCCCCUUAUGAUUUGGGCUACACACGUGC